AAGGAUGAGAAGCUUCGACUAAGGUUCGAUUCGAGCGUCAGCGAGAAAGCGUUGCCGCAGGCAACGACCCGAAGGGCGAAGCGCGCAGCGCUGAGUCAUCCUUCCCCCACCACCA
This 115-nucleotide small RNA is filed under the name Salmonella enterica. RNAcentral's name for it is "partial RtT sRNA". It matches the Rfam family "RtT RNA", at positions 18 to 130 of the family's 130-position model. Rfam says of the family: This family represents a bacterial cis-regulatory element known as RtT RNA. RNAcentral also lists the same sequence under 4 other names. Lineage: Bacteria; Pseudomonadati; Pseudomonadota; Gammaproteobacteria; Enterobacterales; Enterobacteriaceae. The record is from RNAcentral.